This 527-nucleotide ribosomal RNA is filed under the name fungal sp. SK11. RNAcentral's name for it is "eukaryotic LSU rRNA". The stretch from base 145 to 298 matches the Rfam family "5.8S ribosomal RNA". Lineage: Eukaryota; Fungi. The record is from RNAcentral.
CGGAGAUGACUCCCAACCCCUGUGAACAUACCAAUUGUUGCCUCGGCGGAUCAGCCCGCUCCCGGUAAAACGGGACGGCCCGCCAGAGGACCCCUAAACUCUGUUUCUAUAUGUAACUUCUGAGUAAAACCAUAAAUAAAUCAAAACUUUCAACAACGGAUCUCUUGGUUCUGGCAUCGAUGAAGAACGCAGCAAAAUGCGAUAAGUAAUGUGAAUUGCAGAAUUCAGUGAAUCAUCGAAUCUUUGAACGCACAUUGCGCCCGCCAGUAUUCUGGCGGGCAUGCCUGUUCGAGCGUCAUUUCAACCCUCAAGCCCAGCUUGGUGUUGGGACUCGCGAGUCAAAUCGCGUUCCCCAAAUUGAUUGGCGGUCACGUCGAGCUUCCAUAGCGUAGUAGUAAAACCCUCGUUACUGGUAAUCGUCGCGGCCACGCCGUUAAACCCCAACUUCUGAAUGUUGACCUCGGAUCAGGUAGGAAUACCCGCUGAACUUAAGCAUAUCAAUAAGGCGGGAGGAAAAUUUUUAAAUA